This 256-nucleotide ribosomal RNA is filed under the name uncultured Gardnerella sp. RNAcentral's name for it is "partial 16S ribosomal RNA". It matches the Rfam family "Bacterial small subunit ribosomal RNA", at positions 99 to 354 of the family's 1533-position model. The record is from RNAcentral. Lineage: Bacteria; Bacillati; Actinomycetota; Actinomycetes; Bifidobacteriales; Bifidobacteriaceae.
CGAACGGGUGAGUAAUGCGUGACCAACCUGCCCCAUGCUCCAGAAUAGCUCUUGGAAACGGGUGGUAACGCUGGAUGCUCCAACUUGACGCAUGUCUUGUUGGGAAAGUGUUUAGUGGCAUGGGAUGGGGUCGCGUCCUAUCAGCUUGUAGGCGGGGUAAUGGCCCACCUAGGCUUCGACGGGUAGCCGGCCUGAGAGGGCGGACGGCCACAUUGGGACUGAGAUACGGCCCAGACUCCUACGGGAGGCAGCAGGC